RNAcentral lists this ribosomal RNA (446 nucleotides) under uncultured bacterium. RNAcentral describes it as "partial 16S ribosomal RNA". It matches the Rfam family "Bacterial small subunit ribosomal RNA", at positions 338 to 795 of the family's 1533-position model. The record is from RNAcentral.
CCUACGGGUGGCUGCAGUCGAGAAUCAUUCACAAUGGGGGAAACCCUGAUGGUGCGACGCCGCGUGGGGGAAUGAAGGUCUUCGGAUUGUAAACCCCUGUCAUGUGGGAGCAAAUUAAAAAGAUAGUACCACAAGAGGAAGAGACGGCUAACUCUGUGCCAGCAGCCGCGGUAAUACAGAGGUGUCAAGCGUUGUUCGGAUUUACUGGGCGUAAAGGGUGCGUAGGCGGGCUUGUAAGUGGCGUGUGAAAUACGCGGGCUCAACCUGCGGACGGCAGUUGAUACUGGAAGUCUAGAGUGCAGGAGAGGAAAACGGAAUGCUUGGUGUAGCAGUGAAAUGCGUAGAGAUCAGGAAGAACACCCGUGGCGAAGGCGGGUUCCUGGACCUUAACUGACGCUGAGGCACGAAAGCGUGGGGAGCGAACAGGAUUAGAUACCCGGGUAGUC